AGAGUUUGAUCCUGGCUCAGGAUGAACGCUGGCGGCGUGGAUAAGGCAUGCAAGUCGAACGGUUGAAUAUGUACUUGUAUAUGUUCAAUAGUGGCGAACGGGUUAGUAACACGUAGAUUACAUACCCUAUUCAUGGGCAUAACCCAUCGAAAGAUGGGCUAAUUCCCAAUAGUCCGAUUCGUCGGUAAAGGCGAAAGCCGGAAUAGGAAUGGUCUGCGGCUUAUCAGCUUGUUGGUGGGGUAAUGGCCUACCAAGGCGAUGACGGGUAGGGGAUAUGAGAGUAUGUUCCCCAACAGAGGCACUGAGACACGGGCCUCACUCCUACGGGAGGCAGCAGUCGAGGAUAUUCGACAAUGGGCGAAAGCCUGAUCGAGCGACGCCACGUGCUCGAAGAAGCCCUUCGGGGUGUAAAAAGCUUUUCUCCGUGAAGAACCUUUUAGGUGACGGUAGCGGAGGAAUAAGGGGAUCCUAAUUCUGUGCCAGCAGGAGCGGUAAUACAGAAUCCCCGAGCGUUAUCCGGAUUUAUUGGGCGUAAAGGGUCCGUAGGCGUUUUGUUAGGUUUUCUGUUAAAUAUCCAGGGCUCAACCUUGGAAAUGCAGAAAAAACCGGCAAAAUUGAGGACGUUAGAGGCUGAUAGAACGGUCGGUGUAGGGGUGAAAUCCGUUGAUAUCGACCGGAAUACCAAAAGCGAAGGCAUUCAGCUGGGGCGAUCCUGACGCUGAGGGACGAAAGCGUGGGCAUGGAAAAGGAUUAGAUACCCUUGUACUCCACGCUGUAAACGAUGGACACUGGCUAUUUGAAGUGUCGACCCUUCAAGUGGCGAAGCUAACGCGUUAAGUGUCCCGCCUGGGAAGUACGGCCGCAAGGCUAAAACUCAAAGGAAUAGACGGGGCCUCACACAAGCGGUGGAUCAUGUGGCUUAAUUCGUCAGUAAACGAGGAACCUUACCAGGGCUUGACAGAUUAGUGAAAUCCCGUAGAAACACGGGCCCUCCGCGAGGACACUAAUUCAGGUGCUGCAUGGUUGUCGUCAGCAUGUGCUGUGAAGUGCACCCUUAAAUGGGGUAACAUGCGCAACCCUCACUCUAUGUUUUAAAUGUCAUAGAGAACUGCCUGAGACAAUCAGGAGGAAGGCGAGGAUGACGCCAAAUCAGCAUGGCCUUUUGAUGCCCUGGGCCGCACACAUGAUACAAUGGAGUUUAACAAUGGACGAAGCCGCAAGGCGGAGGGAAUCCCACCAAACGGCUCCUUAAUUCGGAUUGAGGUCUGCAACUCGACCUCAUGAAGCUGGAAUCGCUAGUAAUCGCCAAUCAGCUAUGUGGCGAUGAAUAUGUUCCUGAGGCUUGUACUCACCGCCCGUCAAACCAGGAGAGCUGAUAGUACCCUAAGUCCCUCUUUUGAGGGCCCAAGGUAAGAUCAGUAAUAAGGGUUAAGUCGUAACAAGGUAACC
This 1449-nucleotide ribosomal RNA is filed under the name uncultured bacterium. RNAcentral's name for it is "16S ribosomal RNA". It matches the Rfam family "Bacterial small subunit ribosomal RNA". The record is from RNAcentral.